This 280-nucleotide ribosomal RNA is filed under the name uncultured bacterium. Its description in RNAcentral is "partial 16S ribosomal RNA". It matches the Rfam family "Bacterial small subunit ribosomal RNA", at positions 505 to 784 of the family's 1533-position model. The record is from RNAcentral.
GUGCCAGCAGCCGCGGUAAUACAGAGGGUGCAAGCGUUGUCCGGAAUUACUGGGCGUAAAGAGUACGUAGGCGGCUUUUCAAGUCGGAUGUGAAAUCCCUGAGCUUAACUCAGGAACUGCAUUCGAUACUGGAUCGCUAGAGUAUAUUAGAGGAUAGUGGAAUUUCAAGUGUAGCGGUGAAAUGCGUAGAUAUUCGGAGGAACACCAAUUGCGAAGGCAGUUCACUGGACCGUGAUCGACGCUGAGGAGCGAAAGCUAGGGGAGCAAACAGGAUUAGAUA